GUAGGGCUACCCGCUGAACUUAAGCAUAUCAAUAAGCGGAGGA
Molecule: ribosomal RNA, 43 nt
Filed under: Caulerpa webbiana
Lineage: Eukaryota; Viridiplantae; Chlorophyta; Ulvophyceae; Bryopsidales; Caulerpaceae
Description: partial 28S ribosomal RNA
Source: RNAcentral